This 306-nucleotide long non-coding RNA is filed under the name Androctonus crassicauda. The record is from RNAcentral. Lineage: Eukaryota; Metazoa; Arthropoda; Arachnida; Scorpiones; Buthidae.
UCUUCUUGUGUGGUGUGAUUUUCGAUCGGUAUUCUAUACACACUUGACUUGUAAUUAGAAUGGAUUUUAUUUUUGUCAUUGCGGAGUUGGUUGUAAAUGGUUGGGAAUCGUUUGUACGCAAUCCUUUUAUUAGUUUUAUGUGCUAUUUGUUUAACAAGGUUGGAGCUUCUCGUGGCAUAGGGUGUGGUCUCAUAUCGUUCUUAAUGGGCGCGCGGGUUGUCAACAUUCUCUAUUGUUUGCUUGGUUUUCUGGAGGAUUUUUUCUAAUACAUGCCUAGGGUGGCCGUGUUGGUGGCCUGUUUUGGAG